AGUGAACGCUGGCGGUAGGCCUAACACAUGCAAGUCGAACGGCAGCACAGUAAGAGCUUGCUCUUACGGGUGGCGAGUGGCGGACGAGUGAGGAAUACAUCGGAAUCUACUUUUUCGUGGGGGAUAACGUAGGGAAACUUACGCUAAUACCGCAUACGACCUACGGGUGAAAGCAGGGGAUCUUCGGACCUUGCGCGAUUGAAUGAGCCGAUGUCGGAUUAGCUAGUUGGCGGGGUAAAGGCCCACCAAGGCGACGAUCCGUAGCUGGUCUGAGAGGAUGAUCAGCCACACUGGAAAUGAGACACGGUCCAGACUCCUACGGGAGGCAGCAGUGGGGAAUAUUGGACAAUGGGCGCAAGCCUGAUCCAGACAUACCGCGUGGGUGAAGAAGGCCUUCGGGUUGUAAAGCCCUUUUGUUGGGAAAGAAAAGCAGCAGGUUAAUACCCCGCUGUUCUGACGGUACCCAAAGAAUAAGCACCGGCUAACUUCGUG
Molecule: ribosomal RNA, 492 nt
Filed under: uncultured bacterium
Lineage: Bacteria
Description: partial 16S ribosomal RNA
Rfam family: Bacterial small subunit ribosomal RNA
Source: RNAcentral